Molecule: long non-coding RNA, 1402 nt
Organism: Aphis gossypii (cotton aphid)
Lineage: Eukaryota; Metazoa; Arthropoda; Insecta; Hemiptera; Aphididae
Exons: 6
Source: RefSeq, a predicted model, not a curated record
AAAUACAGUGUAACCACUUUGGAAAAAAAAAACAUUACAAUAUAUCGUGUUUUUAUAUUCCUGAUAACUGUUACCGUGCUGAUAACAAAAUUAAAUUAAAAUAUUAUUUGAAGUUUGACAACGAUCAUUGUUGUUUAACGUCUCUUAGUGAUUUUAUUUUGAACAUUCAUCAUUUUAAAUAUUUAACUAUAAUUAAUAUUUAUUUACUGUACUGUUUAUUUGGUUGUUUAAUUUGGUCUAACCAUAAUGCCGAGUUGUUUUAUUUGUUCACGCACGAGAAAUGCUGAAUCAAAGAAAGGAAACAUAAGCUUUCAUCGAAUUUCCAAAAAAGAUGGUAUUAGUGAGCAGUGGUUAGAAUUUUUCAAAGAAUGCGGUAAAGAUAUUUCAACAAUCAAAUUCACAUCAGCUAUUUGUUCUGAACAUUUUAAACCUGAAGAUUUUAUGAACUAUCUCAGGAAUAAAACGUUACACGAGAAUGCCGCUCCCUCAAUUGUAGUUAACCGUUUAAAAUAUGCUAAAAAAAGCUGUUCCUGAAGGCUUGAGACAAUUGACAAAUCACAGUAAUAAUGGUGUUCAAGGAGUUUCACCAUUACCUGAUGGACCAUAAUUAGAGUUAGUGUAUAGUGAACCAUCUACUAGUAAUGAAACUUAUACUGUGAACAAACCAAAGACGGAUUCUAUUAAAUUAGUAGUUGAUUCUAUUUUGAGUCCUAAAGAUGAAGACACGCCUAGGAAAAAAUUGUUAAGAAAAUCUGUAGCUAUGUUGUCAAAAGAGAAUAAGAACAAGAGUAAUAAAAUAAAAAUAUUAUCUCAAAAAGUGAGGAGACAAGAGCAUCGAAUUGUUUCUCUCCGAGGUGUUAUUAAAGUUUUGAAAAAUAAAUCAUUGAUUUCUGAAGAGCAAGGUAUGUUAUUGGAUAGUAACUUUGGUAAACAGAGAUUUAAUCAAUAAUUUUUGCAAAAAAAAUGCUGGUAGAAAAGUUGCAAAAAAGUAUAGCUUGGAGCUUCGGAAAAUUGCUGUUACCUUAAACUUUUACUCGCCAAAAGCUUAUCAAUUUAUUAGAAGGGAAUUUAAUUCUGCACUGCCCUGUCCACGCACUUUAAGUAAGUGGUAUACACAUGUAAACGCUGAACCAGGUUUCACCAAAGAAGCACUGAACACUUUAGAAUUAUCUUGCAAAAAUACUCAAACGCCUAUUUACUGCGCUUUAAUGAUGGAUGAAAUAUCAGUUCGCAAACAUUUAGAUUUCAACAAUGAUAAAUACUUUGGUUUUGUUGACUUUGGAUCAGAAAUACAAAGUGAUUGUGUUGAUCAAGCUACAGAAUGUUUAGUAUUUAUGGUAGUUGCAAUAAAUUUUUCUUGGAAGCUACCAGUAGGUUAUUUUUUGUGCAAUCAUUUGAAUAG